AACGAACGCUGGCGGCGUGCCUAACACAUGCCAGUCGAACGAGAAAGGGGCUUCGGCUCCGAGUAAAGUGGCGCACGGGUGAGUAACACGUGGGUAACCUGCCUCUAAGAUUGGGAUAACUCGUCGAAAGAUGAGCUAAUACCGAAUAAGACCACAGUUCCCGCGGGAACAGGGGUCAAAGGUAGCCUCUGCUUGCAAGCUAUCACUUAGAGAUGGGCCUGCGCACCAUUAGCUAGUUGGUAGGGUAACGGCCUACCAAGGCAAAGAUGGUUAGCUGGUCUGAGAGGAUGAUCAGCCACACUGGAACUGAGACACGGUCCAGACUCCUACGGGAGGCAGCAGUGGGGAAUAUUGCGCAAUGGGCGAAAGCUUGACGCAGCAACGCCGCGGGAGGGAUGAAGGCCUUCGGGUCGUAAAGCUCUGUCGGGAGGAACGAAUGCUCCUGAGGUUAACAGCCUCGGGAGGUGACGGUACCUUCAAAGGAAGCACCGGCUAACUCUGUG
RNAcentral lists this ribosomal RNA (503 nucleotides) under uncultured bacterium. RNAcentral's name for it is "partial 16S ribosomal RNA". It matches the Rfam family "Bacterial small subunit ribosomal RNA", at positions 29 to 507 of the family's 1533-position model. The record is from RNAcentral.